Molecule: transfer RNA, 94 nt
Filed under: Aureobasidium melanogenum CBS 110374
Lineage: Eukaryota; Fungi; Ascomycota; Dothideomycetes; Dothideales; Saccotheciaceae
Rfam family: tRNA
About the family: Transfer RNA (tRNA) molecules are approximately 80 nucleotides in length. Their secondary structure includes four short double-helical elements and three loops (D, anti-codon, and T loops).
Source: Rfam by way of RNAcentral
GCUCUGCUGGCGCAAUGGUAGCGCGCAAGACUUCUAAUCAUCUCUUCGAUGAACCGAUAUCUUGAGGCUGUGGGUUCGAGCCCCACGUGGAGCU